UACGUAGGGUGCGAGCGUUAAUCGGAAUUACUGGGCGUAAAGCGUGCGCAGGCGGCGCGUUAAGACAGGUGUGAAAGCCCCGAGCUUAACUUGGGAAUUGCGCUUGUGACUGGCGUGCUGGAGUGUGGCAGAGGGAGGUGGAAUUCCACGUGUAGCAGUGAAAUGCGUAGAGAUGUGGAGGAACACCGAUGGCGAAGGCAGCCUCCUGGGCCAGCACUGACGCUCAUGCGCGAAAGCGUGGGUAGCAAACAGG
RNAcentral lists this ribosomal RNA (253 nucleotides) under uncultured bacterium. RNAcentral describes it as "partial 16S ribosomal RNA". It matches the Rfam family "Bacterial small subunit ribosomal RNA", at positions 524 to 776 of the family's 1533-position model. The record is from RNAcentral.